AAGUUUAACAGUCAAAAAUAAAUAAGUAUUUUGUUUUUGACCAGUAGGAUUUGAUUGAAAUCUACUGUUUUAUUAUCUUUUACUGAAAGGGUCAAAGCCACAGUGAUGCUUUAUUUGUUAAAAUUAUAAAAAAAGUUUUUUUUUGUUGGUUGGCUUUAAAUAGGAGAGAGGGAGUCUCGCAGGUUAUUAGCCGCCGCCUUGCAUUGCUUUUUAGACGAAGGUGAAGAAGAAGAAGAAGACAAAAGAAGAAAAUGAAGUACGUUUUGGUAACGGGAGGAGUGGUGAGUGGACUUGGGAAAGGAGUCACUGCAAGUAGCAUUGGACUUCUCCUUCAAGCCUGUGGUCUCCGUGUUACUUCCAUCAAGAUUGAUCCUUAUCUUAAUACUGAUGCUGGAACAAUGUCUCCGUUUGAGCAUGGAGAAGUGUUUGUUUUGGAUGAUGGUGGUGAGGUGGACUUGGACCUUGGAAACUAUGAGCGGUUUUUAGACAGUACUUUGACCCGUGACAACAAUUUAACAACCGGAAAAAUAUACCAGUCGGUUAUUGACAAGGAGAGAAAAGGGGACUACCUUGGAAGAACUGUACAGGUGGUUCCGCAUAUUACUGAUGCGAUCCAAGAGUGGAUUGAGCGUGUAGCUAAUGUUCCUGUGGAUGGAAAGGAAGGCCCUCCUGAUGUGUGUGUGAUCGAAUUAGGCGGGACUAUAGGUGAUAUUGAAUCUAUGCCCUUCAUUGAAGCUCUUGGUCAAUUCUCCUAUAAAGUUGGACCUGGUAAUUUCUGCUUGGUUCAUGUGAGUCUUGUGCCUGUUCUCAGUGUUGUUGGUGAACAGAAGACGAAGCCAACACAGCAUAGUGUGCGAGAACUCAGGAGCCUUGGGUUGAUACCAAAUAUCCUAGCAUGUCGCAGCACCAAGGCACUUGAAGACAAUGUCAAGACGAAACUCUCUCAGUUUUGCCAUGUGCCGGAAGAGAAUAUCGUGACGCUUUAUGACGUUCCAAACAUCUGGCAUGUUCCACUGCUUUUAAGGGAUCAAAAGGCUCAUGGAGCAAUCUUAAAAGAGUUGAACCUCCUUGGCAAAGCUGUAGAGGCUGACGUGACCGAAUGGACUGAAAGAACUAAAAUUUAUGAUUCGCUGCAAGAUCCUGUCAGAAUUGCCAUGGUUGGAAAAUACACUGGCCUUACUGAUUCUUACCUUUCCGUGUUGAAGGCUCUUUUGCAUGCUUCUGUGGCAUGCCACAAGAAGCUCGUUGUAGAGUGGGUUGCAGCCAGUGACCUUGAAGAGAUUACAGCACAUGAAGCCCCUGAUGUUCACAAAGCUGCAUGGGAUCUUUUGAAGGGCGCUGAUGGUAUUCUAGUACCAGGAGGUUUUGGUGAUAGAGGAGUGCAAGGAAAGAUACUAGCUACAAAGUACGCCCGUGAAAGCCAAGUCCCUUUCCUUGGCAUAUGCCUCGGAAUGCAGCUGGCUGUUGUCGAAUUUGCCCGCUCCAUUCUUGGCUAUAAGGAUGCAAACAGCACAGAGUUUGAGCCAGAAACUUCAAGCCCUUGCGUCAUAUUCAUGCCAGAAGGAUCAACAACUCAUAUGGGAGGUACAAUGCGCUUAGGUUCAAGGAGGACUCACUUUCAGGUUCCUGAUUGCAAGUCUGCUAAGUUGUACGGUAAUGCAAAGUUUGUUGAUGAGCGACACAGACACAGAUAUGAGGUAAAUCCAGAUAUGAUAUCAGAAAUUGAGAAUGCUGGACUCUCAUUCGUUGGGAAGGAUGGGACUGGUCGCCGUAUGGAGAUUGUGGAACUACAAAACCAUCCAUACUUUGUGGGUGCUCAGUUCCAUCCUGAGUUCAAGUCCAGACCUGGAAAACCUUCAGCCUUGUUUCUAGGUCUUAUAGCAGCAGCGUCUGGGUGUCUGGAAGCAGUUCUUCAAGCAACUGGCAAGAUGAACAAAGUUUUUAUAAAUGGAGUGGCCAAUGGAACAACAACGGGGAAAGUUUACCAUAAUGGCAAUGUGUAUAGCAAUGGAAACGGGUUACAUCACUGAGUCAAGAAAGUAGCUAAUUUGACUGCAUUUUGAACCUAGAUUGCACACCGUAAUGAAGAACCAAAAGGAUGAGAUCACAAACGCAAACGCCAAGUUAUGAGUAGUAAUCGCUGAAACUCCACUUGUUGAGUUGGCUUUUGCAGUAGCAGCAGCAACAACAGGCUUAGUAGUAGAGGACGGUGGGGAUGGUGGCUCGUCAUAAGUAUAAUCAUCAUCACCGGGAGGUUGUGGAGGAAGUGGUGAAGAAGAUGAACCAUGAUCUGAAGGACCUUCAGGAUUCAUGAUAGGUAUGUAACUGCUAAUAUGAAGCACGGAGAUGUUAUACGGAUGUGUCGCAACAGAGUCUAUAAGCUUAGCGUCAAGGAUAGAUCCGGGAACCGCGGAACCGAACAUGACGUCGCCGUUGCUCAUAACGGUUGCGUUUAUGAAACCUUGCUGGCCUUUGGCUUGACCGCUUGAUUGGAAGAGAGUGAAAACGGACACUGCGUCGUUGGAGAGGGCGAGAACGGUUAUGGUUUGACGGGAGUUGAUGGUGGAAGCGAGUCCGGUUUGGGAGAGAAGGUUGUUGAAAGUAGAGAACUCAUUGUUCAGGUUUAAGAUGCGUGUGAUGUUGAAUGCGUGGGCAUUGAGGAAUGUAGAAGCAAAGAAGAAGAAGAGUGUAAGUGAAGCAGAAGAAGAAGACAUUGUGUGGAUUUAAUUGAUGAGAUUGAUUCUUGUGAGAUUUUUAUAGAGUCGAGAUCUGCAUGUUUGAUUUGGCCUCUUGUUUAGACAUGAGGAAGAGAUUAUGUUUCUCCAUAGUUUCAGGACA
RNA transcript from Raphanus sativus (radish), 2838 nucleotides. RefSeq lists it as uncharacterized. The record is from RefSeq and is a predicted model, not a curated record. The transcript has 24 exons. NCBI's taxonomy places the organism in Eukaryota, Viridiplantae, Streptophyta, Magnoliopsida, Brassicales, Brassicaceae.